Wohlfahrtiimonas chitiniclastica SH04 is the source of this 97-nucleotide non-coding RNA. It matches the Rfam family "Bacterial small signal recognition particle RNA". From Rfam's summary of the family: The signal recognition particle (SRP) is a universally conserved ribonucleoprotein involved in the co-translational targeting of proteins to membranes. Archaeal SRP consists of a 7S RNA and homologues of the eukaryotic SRP19 and SRP54 proteins. In most bacteria, the SRP consists of a 4.5S RNA and the Ffh protein (a homologue of the eukaryotic SRP54 protein). The record is from Rfam. Lineage: Bacteria; Pseudomonadati; Pseudomonadota; Gammaproteobacteria; Cardiobacteriales; Ignatzschineriaceae.
CAUUGGUUUCCUCGCAGUGAAUUAUUACGCACCGUGUCAGGUCCGGAAGGAAGCAGCACACGUAUUAGGUUUGCGUGCAGAGGGUGAGCUGGUGUGG